Mercurialis annua (annual mercury) is the source of this 4531-nucleotide long non-coding RNA. RefSeq lists it as uncharacterized. The record is from RefSeq and is a predicted model, not a curated record. Lineage: Eukaryota; Viridiplantae; Streptophyta; Magnoliopsida; Malpighiales; Euphorbiaceae. The transcript is spliced from 5 exons.
ACUUUGGUGUUGGUCGUAUGCUUGAUUUACUAAUUUUGAUUGAAGCCAGUAUUUUUGAAAGAUUGUUAAAGAAUUAUUAUUUUUCCACUUGGGCGAUGAGUUGAUGUUAUUACUUUGGAUGACGUCAAGCUACCUAUGUUGAAAAUAUUGAGAUUUAUUUUCAAAAGGGGUUUCUUUACGGAUUUGAAAAUAUGUUGCAUACAUUUUAUAAAUGGAUAUUAUGGGUUUGACUUGAGUCACCCAAAUUUGUAGUAGAGUUUGGAAGUGGUAAUCACUCGGCUAACUCGAUGAUUUUAAAUUGAGGCGUUUGGGAAUAAUUGUCUCUAUUGUUUUAUAAAAGAGGUUUCCGAAAAAUGAUUUUCAAAACUGUGGGGCUCGACACGAACUUGAAAUCUAUUUUGUAAAUUUUAUUUUUCGAAGUGGAUUUUGAUAGGUACUUUUGACCAGUAUCUUUAUUAUUUUAAUUUGAGUUGGUGUGUUGAAAAUAUUAUUGUGUAAGUAAAAUUUUCCUUAGUUACGGGUAGGAACUCAUUGGCCAUAUAAGAUGUUGCAUGCUUAAUUAUUUUUGGAAUUACAUUGGUUAGCUAUCUAAAUGAGUAAUUGGUUUACUAUAAGAUGCUUAAGUGUUUUUCGGAUGUGUGAUCAAUUUUUAACCUAUAUUAUUUAUUCUGGUCUAUAGUAUUUGAUUAAGUUAUGCCGUAUCAGUUCCGUCCUCGUUGGCCUCACUGUGUGGAGUAUCACGUGAUAGUAUUUCUCGCUAGUCUUUCUUUGGCCUAACCUUGACAUUGAUAUCGAUGUGAGUUUCGAACCUUUGUUUUGACCUUGUGAUUAUUUAGGUGUUCUAAUUGGUUAGUUGGAUCGAACGUUGGACUCUGGAAAUCGAAGUUAUUAAUUUUGUCAUCAAGAAAUUUGAGGAGCGAUCCUCAAGAGCUGUUUGCAUAUUCGAAUUCCGAAUCUGUCAUGGCCAGAGGAAGGCGAUUUGAGUUACUCAGCACCGGUGGAAUAAUUCUACUCGUGAGUGCUUACCUCGCGCGUGGAAUUUGGAGCGUUAUGCAUUUCUAGAUCGUGUUCGUUGUGAUAAAUUAUAGUAUCAAAAUCUUUCGGCUUUUGGUAUUCUGGAAAAGGAUGUGGAAAUUGUGUUCGAGGUAGAUCAGUGUAGUAAUACAUUGGUGUUUUCAUUGGGUAGAUCGGUGAAACACCAAAACUGAUAGUGGAGCUGUGAAGGCGUUCGUAUUGUUUGAUGUCUUUGGAAAAUUUUCAAUUUGAUUUGAGGGAGAAUUCAUUAUUAGGUAAAUUUUAGUUUCCUUGUUGAUGUUGGGUUAUUUCGUUAAUGACGAUGCAAAUUGGUGAACUAGGAUAAUGGAGAUGGGCAAAUAUGUCAAAAUGGGCGAGUGCACGUCUUACAGAGUGUGAGGUCUAGAAAAUAUUUCGAGGGAAAAUUGAUUUCAAAUGUUAAAUGGUUAAAGAGAAUUGAAAUGUUUUUAUCACAUAAUUGUGCCCAGACAUGUCAUGAACAUGCAUUUUGGAAUGCCACGAAUAGAAAACUGCAUUGAGCAUUGAGCAUGAUCACUAAUUAAAAGAGAAAUAAAUAAUUGAUACAUGCAUUUAGAACAUUCAUCACGACAUUAAAUUAUUAGGGUCGAAUGCAACUCUUUGGGGAUGAGAGCUGUCAUCACCCUGGCGCACAAUUAUGUAAAAUAAAUUUUAUCAGUGAGAUUUUUCAAAUGUUUUGUUUAAAACUCGCGAGUUAUAUUGUGAAAAUAGUGUUUAAAAGGUUAUUAAAUUUCAAACGGUUUUGAAAUUUUUAUUUGGUAGGAAACUAGACAAAUACUCUGUGACGACGGUAGUGAUUUAAGAAAAAUGGCAUUGUAAGGAUUUAUUCUAUAUUGAUUGGAGUAUCAGCGUUUGGUAAAUAGGAGCUAUGGUUAUAAGUUGCACUCAAGGUUUAGUUGUGGUAGGUGCGGAAAAAUAUUGAGUUCGGAUUAAAGAGUUGUGUCAGCUUAGAGUAUAUGGUUUGAGGAGUUUUGUUUUGAAGAACAUUGGUUAUGCUCUGUGUGUGUUUUUUUUUAAAGAACUAAAAGCAAUUUUGUUUUUACAGAUUUAAUAUCUGUUUAAAAAGUUUUGAUACCGAAAUGAAAAUUUAUUGUGAAUAAAGGAACUCUUAUUUGUAAAAUUUUAACUUUUGAGAAGCGAUGCAACUUUGCCAGUUUAGAUUUAAAAGCGGAUUUCAAAUUGUUUUAAAUGGAUUUUAUAAAAUCAUAAAAAUUAUUGUGAAAGUAAGGUUCAGUUAUGAUUUCAAAUUGAGAGUAUUUUAUCAUGUUGAUGCGUUUACAAACAAAAUAAUUUUUCAACGGGUUAAUUAUUUAGAUAAAAGUGAAAAUUUAAUUUGAGGUGCUAGUGAUUUCAAAUUAAAGGUGGAUAGCGCUAGUAUAUAUUUGUGUUUACGUAAAAUAUUUUUCUGGAGAAGUUUUGUUUUAAGCAUAACCAAUAAUCAAAUUGAGUGCGAUUAGAUCUUAAUGAUCUUCAGUAGGAUUCGAGGUUUUGGUGAUAUAGAAAUAAAUGUCAAGGAUGAAUAAUAUUGUUUUCAGAAGUAUAAGUUAUGUAUUCCUUAAAAAAUUGGUGUGUUUUCUUACGUCUUAGUUCUUGAAGUUGAUAGUAUUGUCGAGGAGAUCUUAGUUGGUUGAACCGAGACGAUACUAAUGGCGUUAGUUUUCAUCCAUUAUUUUGUGACGGCACAUUUGAUCUGAACGAUAUUUUGAAUUGUUGUUAAGCUUUCUCAUUUGAAGUAAUUGAUACUAUGACCAUUAUAAGUUCAUAGUGCGUAGACGCUAAGUGAUGUAAGAUUAUUUUCCGUAGAGAGUGCUUGUAGGUUUUCGGUUUGUAGUAUUGGGGUUUGGCUUAAUAAGUUUUUGAUUCGAAUUUUAGGUUUGAGAAAUCAAUGUUUAAUUCGUUCACACGUGGUGUUUGAGGAGCCGUUUGAAGUACCAAAUUGUUGAUCUUAGAGUUUUCCGCGUUUGCGUAUGGUGGUCUUUCGGGUUUUCAGAUCAGUUGUAAAUUCGAAGUCGUAAAAUUUUCAGCGUGUUUCGGUUAGAUGAUGUGUCGUUUUUCUUAGCUAUCCUCAGUUGAAAUUAUGGUAAGAUUACCCUUGGGUAGGAGUUUGCUUAAACUUUUGAGAUUGCGGUGAUGUUUUGCUUAGACUGAAUUAAACAAUUUUUAUUUUGUUAUCCGUAGAGUUGUCCCUCGGUCGUGAGUAAUCUUAGAUAUCACAAAUUGUGGUACGUAUAUCUCUUUCGUUCCGUCGAGGAUACGUUCUUCGUAUUUUGAGUUAUGUGUGAGUUUUACGUAUUGGUAAUUGAGUUUUUAUUACUGGGCUUUUUGAUAAAUUCGAGGACGAAUUUUUAAUAAGUUGGGGAUAAUGUAAAACCCCAUAAAAUUUUAAAAUUUAUUUUUGCGAGUUUCAGUAAUAUUUUGAGUCAUUUACGUAUUUGAAAUUCGUUGGGUGGUUCGAUUUGUGGCUUGGUUCGUGGCUCGGUUCGGUCUUUGGUUCUCUAGGUUUGUGGUACAUGCGGAAAAUCUCAGGUCUCAAUCGAGACCUGAAAUUUUCACGUAAAGUCUCGUUCGAGACCUUCAGUCUCGAACGAGACUUCUUCAAUUUGUUGUUGGUCUCGUUCGAGACCAGCAUUUUGGUUCACAGGGGUCCAUUUUUUCCUUCGUUUUAUAACCUAACUAACUCCUAUAAAUCCGUAACUUUUCAAUCCUAAUCUAUUCACCACACGGCACACUAAACCCUAGCUGCCAAUUCUUGCUGAUCCUUUGAGGAAUCGCUGCCCUUAUUUUCCUCCCAAAGUUUCCAAAAUUUUUGCAAAUUCAGUUCCGCUUCGUCGCUGAGAAAGUAGACUCAUUCCUCUACAACUUUGCCUUUCGAAUUUUGUCAAACGCCGUUUGGAGAUCGAAAUCCGUUCCGUUCAUUCCCCGUGAUAGUAGGCUCGCUCCUCUACGAUUCUACACUUUUCUUUUGUCAAACGGUACGUAAACGCACCCGUAUCAAUCGCCGUCGUUUCAUCGUUUUGCGGUAGCUUAAGUUUCUACUUGCUCUGUUUAUUGUCAUAGGCUAAGUGUUGAUUCCUGGGUGUGAUUCUUAUUACGUUAGGCUAUUAUCUUACGUCCGAAUCAAGUCGUUUCAUCUCUGAAAUUCUUCAAAACUUCAUUGAUUCUCAGAGACCCGUCGACUGCUCGUGCUUCGGAGUCUACGCAGGGUUAACUGUUUGCCAAGAUCACGUGGAUAAGCAAGCAGUUUAUUAUUUUGAGCGAGUCUGCAGAUCUCCGAAUCUUUAUUCCUCGGAGGUUUAUUUUCUUUUUAAUAAAUUGUCAAACUACUUUUAUUCUUAGACCGCAGUAGUAAAUUAGAAGUCUAUAUUAUUCUAGUCUGUUUGUCGGAUUUGUCUGACUGGCUUUCUUUUAUGCUUUGGCAUUAAUAUUGUUUAACUCUGGUUAUAUUUAUUUAAUGGAAGUACUUAUAUUUAAACUGUUA